Molecule: non-coding RNA, 218 nt
Organism: Pelobates cultripes (western spadefoot toad)
Lineage: Eukaryota; Metazoa; Chordata; Amphibia; Anura; Pelobatidae
Source: the annotation of a GenBank genome assembly
CAGAGCAGUUGGUCAUGGUAACAGGCAGAAUGAUCAUCUAUCAUCAUUGAAUCAGUUAAUUAAAAACAAAAGACAAUAAACCAGUUCUGUGAGAAACAAAGGAAACGGAUAUUAAACGUUGUGUUAGGCAUAGUCCCCCUGCCGUCUCCACUUAGCUGCUUGUGGACAGUGAGGACGGCUAUUUCUUAGUCGGACAUCUAGCCAUCUGCCACUCUCCC